GCCGGGUGUGGUGGCGCAUGCCUGUAAUCCCAGCUACUCAGGAGACUGAGGCAGGAGAAUCGCUUGAACCCAAGAAGCAGAGGUUGCAGUGAGCCGAGAUAGUGCCACUGCACUCCCGCCUGGGUGACAGAGCGAGACUCUGUCUCAA
RNAcentral lists this non-coding RNA (148 nucleotides) under Nomascus leucogenys (northern white-cheeked gibbon). The record is from Rfam by way of RNAcentral. Lineage: Eukaryota; Metazoa; Chordata; Mammalia; Primates; Hylobatidae.